This 254-nucleotide ribosomal RNA is filed under the name uncultured bacterium. RNAcentral describes it as "partial 16S ribosomal RNA". It matches the Rfam family "Bacterial small subunit ribosomal RNA", at positions 524 to 776 of the family's 1533-position model. The record is from RNAcentral.
UACGUAGGGUGCGAGCGUUAAUCGGAAUUACUGGGCGUAAAGCGUGCGCAGGCGGUCUGUUAAGACCGAUGUGAAAUCCCCGGGCUUAACCUGGGAACUGCAUUGGUGACUGGCAGGCUUUGAGUGUGGCAGAGGGAGGUAGAAUUCCACGUGUAGCAGUGAAAUGCGUAGAGAUGUGGAGGAACACCAAUGGCGAAGGCAGGGUCCUGGCUGGCACCUGACGCUGAUGUGCGAAAGCCAGGGGAGCGAACGGG